GACGAACGCUGGCGGCGUGCUUAACACAUGCAAGUCGAACGAUGAAGCCGGAGCUUGCUCUGGUGAAUUAGUGGCGAACGGGUGAGUAACACGUGAGUAACCUGCCCUUGACUCUGGGAUAACUGCUAGAAAUGGUAGCUAAUACCGGAUACGACCCUCGGAGGCAUCUCCAGGGGGUGGAAAGAAUUUCGGUCAAGGAUGGACUCGCGGCCUAUCAGCUAGUUGGUGAGGUAACGGCUCACCAAGGCGACGACGGGUAGCCGGCCUGGGAGGGUGACGGGCCACACUGGGACUGGGACACGGCCCAGACUCCUACGGGAGGCAGCAGUGGGGAAUAUUGCACAAUGGGCGCAAGCCUGAUGCAGCAACGCCGCGUGAGGGAUGACGGCCUUCGGGUUGUAAACCUCUUUUAGUAGGGAAGAAGCGAAAGUGACGGUACCUGCAGAAAAAGCACCGGCUAACUACGUGCCAGCCGCCGCGGUAA
RNAcentral lists this ribosomal RNA (484 nucleotides) under uncultured bacterium. Its description in RNAcentral is "partial 16S ribosomal RNA". It matches the Rfam family "Bacterial small subunit ribosomal RNA", at positions 28 to 523 of the family's 1533-position model. The record is from RNAcentral.